CGCGUGAGGAACCUGCCUUGGAGAGGGGGAAGUAAACACUCCGAAAGGAGUGCUAAUACCGCAUGAUGCAGUUGGGUCGCAUGGCUCUGACUGCCAAAGAUUUAUCGCUCUGAGAUGGCCUCGCGUCUGAUUAGCUAGUAGGCGGGGUAACGGCCCACCUAGGCGACGAUCAGUAGCCGGACUGAGAGGUUGACCGGCCACAUUGGGACUGAGACACGGCCCAGACUCCUACGGGAGGCAGCAUG
RNAcentral lists this ribosomal RNA (245 nucleotides) under uncultured bacterium. Its description in RNAcentral is "partial 16S ribosomal RNA". It matches the Rfam family "Bacterial small subunit ribosomal RNA", at positions 114 to 353 of the family's 1533-position model. The record is from RNAcentral.